UACGAAGGGGGGCUAGCGUUGCUCGGAAUCACUGGGCGUAAAGGGUGCGUAGGCGGCUCUGCACGUUCGUUGUGAAAUCGCCCGGCUCAACUGGGCGGGGUCAGCGGAUACGGCAGAGCUUGAGCAAGCUAGGGGCAAUGGAAUUCCCGGUGUAGUGGUGGAAUGCGCAGAUAUCAGGAGGAACACCGGUGGCGAAGGCGGGUCUCUGGGGCUGUAACUGACGCUGAGGAGCGAAAGCGUGGGGAGCGAACAGG
Molecule: ribosomal RNA, 254 nt
Filed under: uncultured bacterium
Lineage: Bacteria
Description: partial 16S ribosomal RNA
Rfam family: Bacterial small subunit ribosomal RNA
Source: RNAcentral